UCUUGAGAGUGGCGCACGGGUGCGUAACACGUAUGUAACCUACCUUAAUCAGGGGGAUAGCCUCUCGAAAGAGAGAUUAAGACCGCAUAACAUUGCACUAUGGCAUCAUAGAACAAUCAAAUAUUUAUAGGAUUAAGAUGGGCAUGCGGAACAUUAGCUAGUUGGUAAGGUAAUGGCUUACCAAGGCUACGAUGUUUGGGGGAUCUGAGAGGAUGACCCCCCACACUGGUACUGAGACACGGACCAGACUCCUACGGGAGGCAGCAGUAAGGAAUAUUGGUCAAUGGGCGGAAGCCUGAACCAGCCAUGCCGCGUGCA
RNAcentral lists this ribosomal RNA (318 nucleotides) under uncultured Mucilaginibacter sp. RNAcentral describes it as "bacterial SSU rRNA". It matches the Rfam family "Bacterial small subunit ribosomal RNA", at positions 87 to 405 of the family's 1533-position model. Lineage: Bacteria; Pseudomonadati; Bacteroidota; Sphingobacteriia; Sphingobacteriales; Sphingobacteriaceae. The record is from RNAcentral.